Long non-coding RNA from Ficedula albicollis (Collared flycatcher), 1106 nucleotides. RefSeq lists it as uncharacterized. The transcript is spliced from 2 exons. Lineage: Eukaryota; Metazoa; Chordata; Aves; Passeriformes; Muscicapidae. The record is from RefSeq and is a predicted model, not a curated record.
UUUACUGCACCAGAAUCUUGCAAAACAUCCAAAACAGAGAGGAAAGCUUAAAAUACACAGAGAACUUCAUUAUUGCAAAGAAAAGUCUGACAGCAGCCACUGAAGUCAACAGAAAACAUUUCACAGGCUCUGUGACUGUUCAAAUCAAAGCUUCCUAAUAACAAAUUAUUAAAAAUAUGACCCUCAUGGUUUGUUUUUUCCCCCUCUAGAUGCAAGUCCUUAGAUGACCAAUGACAGACUCAAAGAUGUGUCCAUAAUCCCUGGGCUGGCAGGGAUGAUUAGUGUGGACUUGAGGCAGAGAUCAGUCUCACUUUAAGACGAGCCUGCUGCAUUAUAUUGAAAUAGAUCCUGAAAAGCCACAAAUAAGAACACACAGUACCAAAACACACAGUACAUUGGAAAUACCUCCCCAUCCCUUUUUAUAGGGCCCAUAAAUCUUUUAAUAAAUAAGUAAAUCACAGAGGGACCAAUGGCACUGGCAAACCAAGAGGUAGUUUUUGUAACAGAGCAGCUCUGGCACAGCUCUGGCACCUGAGCCAGGUGUGGGCCAAGCCCAGGGACAAAAGCUCAGGCACAGAGAGCUGGGCUGGGCUGGGCUGGGGGGGCUGCAGGGGCUCAGGGCACACAGAACUGACCCUGUGCUCCCCCCUCUCCCAGCACCAACACUGGGACCCCCACAACAGGGCAGGGCUCAGGAAGGGAUCAUUGAUUCCUCUGCUUGUGCUGGGCUGUCCCAGCAGAUGUGAGUGAGUACCUGGUUCAGGUGUGUACCUGGCUCAGGUGUGAGUGUGUACCUGGCUCAGGUGUGUAGCUGGCUCAGGUGUGAGUGUGUACCUAGAUCAGGUGUGUACCUGGCUCAGGUGUGAAUGUGUACCUGGCUCAGGUGUGUGUGUACCUGGCUCAGGUGUGGGUAUACCUGGCUGUUCAGGGGGCAGCAGUGGAAGGGAAGCUGCUCUCAGGGCUGGGAUUUCCUGCAAACACCUGGCACCUGCUGCAGGGUGUGAGCCUGCUCUGGGCUGGGCUGCACGCUGCAGCUCUGAGGCAGCUCUGGUUUGGAAUGGUCAGCAGGACAGCAGUGCAUGCUGCAGCUUGUGUGAAAAGCCCCC